RNAcentral lists this ribosomal RNA (253 nucleotides) under uncultured bacterium. Its description in RNAcentral is "partial 16S ribosomal RNA". It matches the Rfam family "Bacterial small subunit ribosomal RNA", at positions 524 to 776 of the family's 1533-position model. The record is from RNAcentral.
UACGUAGGUGGCAAGCGUUGUCCGGAUUUACUGGGCGUAAAGAGCGCGCAGGCGGUCGUUCAAGUCGCGUGUGAAAGCCCCCGGCUCAACUGGGGAGGGUCACGCGAUACUGAUCGACUCGAAGGCAGGAGAGGGAAGUGGAAUUCCAAGUGUAGCGGUGAAAUGCGUAGAGAUUUGGAGGAACACCAGUGGCGAAGGCGACUCUUUGGUCUGUAACUGACGCUGAGGCGCGAAGGUCAGGGGAGCAAACGGG